RNAcentral lists this ribosomal RNA (261 nucleotides) under Triticum aestivum (bread wheat). Its description in RNAcentral is "partial small subunit ribosomal RNA". The record is from RNAcentral. Lineage: Eukaryota; Viridiplantae; Streptophyta; Magnoliopsida; Poales; Poaceae.
AUGGAUUGGGCGCACCCUGCCUCCGAAGAAGAGGCCAGCCGUCGGCGGGACAUCGAGCGUAGCAGAGCGGAGGCCCGACGAAAGGUGGAGCAGAUGGCGGACACUGUGCAGUUCAACGACCCCUGGAUCCAUCACUCGGACGUGACCAAGUCCCCUGAGGAGCUGCUCCAAGCAAGACAGCAAGCAUGGCGUUAUCAAGCUCACCGCAUCGAGAUGGCUCGUCGACGGGACUUUGCUCAGGCGAUGCAAAUCCACGGAUGA